UGUUCAUGUCUGCAUCUCAUACUCAGUGGUUGGUUCCUCUUUCUUAAAUGGUAGUGCUCUUUUCACCCUCACCUGUUAGUCUGCACACUUUCACACCCUUCCCAGAUCUGCCCUCCAGUAAGCAUUUGAUAAGCGUUUAAGAAAUGAUGAAGUAUUGCAGAAGACUGAUACUGAAGCUCUUUUCUUGCUAGUGUGUGUGUGUGUGUGUGUGUACACAUAUUUUAGACAAAUGUACACACACAUGCUUAUUAUGUGUUCUGUGUAUUAUGCCUGUUCAGGUAUAUUAGAGGUAACGGUGUCAUCUAUGAGGUAGGUAUGGUUAAUCCUGCUGUUCUAGGGAGGAAGCUGGCUGGAGGCUCCAGGCAGGUUUCACCACACAGAUCCAUACCAUUGCCUCUUUCCUCCUGUUGUGCCCUCUUGCCCCUCUCCAUCCUUCUCUUCACCUUUAUUCCUGUUAGAACGUAGAUGGAGGCCCAAGAUGCAGCCCUCUGUCUUCUGGGAUGCUGAGGCCUCCAUGCGAUGCAAGUUUCAUUCUUAGGAUGACAAAGCAGAUUAAGAGAAGGAGCUCAGGCUCAUCUCCCAGAUGACCCUGGGGAGCAGCUGUGACCCUGUGUUCCUCUGUCCCCACUUCCUCGUGUGUGAGCACGGUCAGUCCCCAUCUGGUAAAGCUACUCUAGACAAUGUUCUAGACCCGACCUCUGUCACUGAACCCAAACUCUCACAAUGUUUAUGAAACUGCAAAUGUAACUAUUAAUAGAAUACUAAAUAAGAUGCGUACUUACCAAACUGCUGCAGAAGGAAAAGUCAGAAAAAACGUCUAACAGCAAACAACAAAAGAAAUAUGCGAUGACUAUAACAAUAAAAUGAUGAUAAGUCCAGUGUAUCAUGUAUGACAAUAAGUAGAGGACAAAGGUUUUUUUAAAAGUAAAAUCAGAUCUCCCUAUCACCUGCUUCCGAGUCACUUCUUAAUAAAGGACCAACAAAAAAAAAGUUUACAGUUAAAUGUUUGUCAAAUAUAUUUCAGGGAAACAAUGAAGGAAAGCAAUAUGUGGCGGCAGAAAUAAUAUCAGACAAAAUAGAAAUUAAGGGACAAUCAUUAAGCCAAAGAAGCGCUUUUAUUUUUAUAAAAGAUACAGUGAAUUAGGAAAGUGUUCUUUUAAGAGCCAUCUACCUACAUUAAAUACAUCAACCAAGAGUUCUUAGAACAAAGAUAAAUUGGUUGGGAGGCUGCUGUGUGAGCCUUUAACACAAUUUUCCAAGCCUUCAAAGAUCAUGGAGAUUAAAGAAGUAAUAAUGGCAUCAAAAAUUUGAAUGAUAUACAUAAUGAGAUUAAGCUGAUAAUACAUAUUCUUUUUGGAGGUUGAUGAGUAAAUUUUCAAAACUAAGUUACAAAAGAUUACAAAAUGCCUAGGUUAUAUGCUCUGACCUUUAUUCAUGGGGAAAUCCCCCAAAAUUAGAGCUGUGUGGUCACGGCAAAUCAUAUUUUGAUGAUCUGGAAAAGUGCCCAUGAUAUCAUGUUAAGUAUAAAAGCAUUGUGCAGAAUUCUAUAUUGUGUUUAAAUUUCUAAAAAUUCGUAAAAAUGAGAUACUUCCUUUCCACAGUGGUUACCACUGGGUGGUGAAAGUAGACAAGAGAUUACCUUUCCAACUUCUGUGUUUUAUGGAUUUUCCACAGUGAGUGUAUAUUGCAUUCAGAUUACAUGAAAAACAAUACUUGGUAAUAAAAUAAAAGCAGAAGACCCAACUGAAAGUACAGUAUGAAUCAAGG
This 1767-nucleotide long non-coding RNA is filed under the name Callithrix jacchus (white-tufted-ear marmoset). RNAcentral describes it as "lncRNA (ENSCJAG00000072530.1)". Lineage: Eukaryota; Metazoa; Chordata; Mammalia; Primates; Cebidae. The record is from RNAcentral.